RNAcentral lists this ribosomal RNA (773 nucleotides) under uncultured Neocallimastigales. RNAcentral describes it as "partial large subunit ribosomal RNA". It matches the Rfam family "Eukaryotic large subunit ribosomal RNA", at positions 22 to 621 of the family's 3401-position model. The record is from RNAcentral. Lineage: Eukaryota; Fungi; Neocallimastigomycota; Neocallimastigomycetes; Neocallimastigales.
UAUCAGUCAUGCAUAGCAUAUCAAUAAGCGGAGGAAAAGAAACUAACAAGGAUUCCCUUAGUAACGGCGAGUGAAGCGGGAAGAGCUCAAAUUUGAGAUCUUCAAGGUUUUACCUUGACGAAUUGUAGUUUAAAGAAGUGUUUUCUGUUGAAGUUUUGGUAAAAGUUCUUUGGAAUAGGACAUCAUAGAGGGUGAGAAUCCCGUAUUUGACCAUUACUUUCAGCUUUGUGAUACACUUUCAAAGAGUCGGAUUGUUUGGGAAUGCAGUCCAAAAUGGGUGGUAAAUUUCAUCUAAAGCUAAAUAUUGGCGAGAGACCGAUAGCGAACAAGUACCGUGAGGGAAAGAUGAAAAGAACUUUGAAAAGAGAGUUAAACAGUACGUGAAAUUGUCAAAAGGGAAGCGUUUGACACCAGUGUUGUUUUCUCGAAAAUCAAUUAAAAAGAGUUGGAUUUUGUGUUGUAUUGACUUUAUCAGCUUUCUUCACUCUUUUCCAGCUUUUUUUAAUGCACUUUUCGCUUAACAAGUCAACAUCAGUUUCUUUUGUUGUAAAAAGGUCAUUGGAAGGUGGCUUUCUCUUCGGAGAAAGUGUUUAUAGCCUUUGACUCAUGCAAUCGGAGAGACUGAGGUCUGCAGCGUAGAUCCUUCGGGGUUAGAUACAUUUGUGCUAAGUUAUAGCUUUUCAUAGACAACUUGUUGACUAUGUUUAGUCUUGUAGCUUACUCGCUUAUGCUAUUUUACCUACGCUUAGGAUGUUGAACUCUAUCACACACAG